Molecule: ribosomal RNA, 147 nt
Filed under: uncultured bacterium
Lineage: Bacteria
Description: partial 16S rRNA
Rfam family: Bacterial small subunit ribosomal RNA
Source: RNAcentral
AGCAGGUGGGGAAUUUUCCGCAAUGGGCGAAAGCCUGACGGAGCAAUGCCGCGUGGAGGUGGAAGGCCUACGGGUCGUCAACUUCUUUUCUCGGAGAAGAAACAAUGACGGUAUCUGAGGAAUAAGCAUCGGCUAACUCUGUGCCAG